CCCUUAGAUGUCCUGGGCCGCACGCGCGUUACACUGAUGCAUUCAACGAGCUUAUAACCUUGGCCGAGAGGCCUGGGCAAUCUUGUUAACGUGCAUCGUGAUAGGGAUAGAUUAUUGAAAUUAUUAAUCUUGAACGAGGAAUUCCUAGUAAACGCAAGUCAUCAGCUUGCAUUGAUUACGUCCCUGCCCUUUGUACACACCGCCCGUCGCACCUACCGAUUGAAUGGUCCGGUGAAAUCUUCGGAUUGAGACUUUGAUUUCUUCACGGAAAACGCUGUUUUAAAAAGUUGAUUAAACCUUACCAUUUAGAGGAAGGUGAAGUCGUAACA
This 329-nucleotide ribosomal RNA is filed under the name uncultured eukaryote. RNAcentral's name for it is "partial 18S ribosomal RNA". It matches the Rfam family "Eukaryotic small subunit ribosomal RNA", at positions 1470 to 1796 of the family's 1831-position model. The record is from RNAcentral.